UGAUUGCAGAUUUUCGUGAUCAUCGAAUCUUUGAACGCACAUUGCGCCCUCUGGUAUUCCAGAGGGCAUGCCUGUUUGAGCGUCAUUUCUCUCUCAAACCCCCGGGUUUGGUAUUGAGUGAUACUCUUAGUCGGACUAGGCGUUUGCUUGAAAAGUAUUGGCAUGGGUAGUACUAGAUAGUGCUGUCGACCUCUCAAUGUAUUAGGUUUAUCCAACUCGUUGAAUGGUGUGGCGGGAUAUUUCUGGUAUUGUUGGCCCGGCCUUACAACAACCAAACAAGUUUGACCUCAAAUCAGGUAGGAAUACCCGCUGAACUUAAGCAUAUCAAUAAGCGG
Molecule: ribosomal RNA, 335 nt
Filed under: Meyerozyma guilliermondii
Lineage: Eukaryota; Fungi; Ascomycota; Pichiomycetes; Serinales; Debaryomycetaceae
Description: eukaryotic LSU rRNA
Rfam family: 5.8S ribosomal RNA (bases 1-85)
Source: RNAcentral